CAGCAGCCGCGGGAAUACGUAGGGGGCUAGCGUUGCUCGGAAUUACUGGGCGUAAAGGGAGCGUAGGCGGACAUUUAAGUCAGGGGUGAAAUCCUAGAGCUCAACUCUGGAACUGCCUUUGAUACUGGGUGUCUUGAGUGUGAUAGAGGUAUGUGGAACUCCGAGUGUAGAGGUGAAAUUCGUAGAUAUUCGGAAGAACACCAGUGGCGAAGGCGACAUACUGGAUCAUUACUGACGCUGAGGCUCGAAAGCGUGGGGAGCAAACAGGAUUAGAUACCCGCGUAGUCCCUGUCUCUUAUAC
This 301-nucleotide ribosomal RNA is filed under the name uncultured bacterium. RNAcentral describes it as "partial 16S ribosomal RNA". It matches the Rfam family "Bacterial small subunit ribosomal RNA", at positions 509 to 807 of the family's 1533-position model. The record is from RNAcentral.